ACGGCGUGGAGCUGCUGCUGGAGCUGGAACGCCGCGGCCUGUGCGACGAGACCAACUUCCGGCACCUGCUGCAGCUGCUCCGCGUGCUCACGCGCCACGACCUGCUGCCCUACGCCACGCUCAAGCGGCAGCGCACAGGUACCGCCCGGCGCGGCCGGAUUCGGGGGAAAAGGGGGGAGGCAGCGGCCGCGCCGGCUCAUCCCGUCCCGCUCACGUCCUCACUCCCUUUUUCCCCGCAGUGUCCCCGGAAAGGUACACGUACGGCCCCUCGGUGGCCGCCUCCGACCGCCGCGUGGACACUUGCCUCAAUUCCGCCGCCGCCGAACCCCGCCACGAGCACUGGGAGACGGGUUCCACCUCGGGCAAGCGGAAGCGGGUGAGCAGAGGCCGGACGAGGGCCGGGACGCUCGGCCGGCGCCGGGGGGCCGCGGCGGCUCCCGCCCCCCAGCCCGAAGCCCCCGGCUCCGCCAAAGUGACCUGCGGCCGCGGCCUCUAACGAAGAAGGUUCAAAAAUAAGUCAGUGAGGGGCAAAACGGCCGCUGCCCGGCGCCGCCACCGCCCGGCUCCUCCGGCGG
Apteryx haastii (Great spotted kiwi) is the source of this 575-nucleotide long non-coding RNA. Lineage: Eukaryota; Metazoa; Chordata; Aves; Apterygiformes; Apterygidae. The record is from Ensembl.